AUGUGCCAUGAUAAGGAAUUUCUUUCUCCCUUGCUCCCUGAGAACCAGUCCCAGAUGCCAGGAGCACAAAGGCUGCAGGGAGGGCCCCAGCGAGGUGGGUCAGCUCCCAGUUUACAUGCUGCAAGUCCCAGAUGUGAAUCCAUCGUGGGGGCCCAUGUGCAGGCAUGGAUCUGUCUGCUAAAACCAGACAAUGGCUUCCUACAAAGAGAUGAGCACGGGCAGAGGAACUGGAUGUUGGCAUUUUACCAAGCCUGCCAACUGCAAAGCACUUUUCAAAGCGCAUUGUGGGAAGGAGCCAACCUUUUUGAAAUGACAGGCACAUGUUAGUCUGCAAGAAAACGAAUCCGCUUAAUUUACUUAAAGCAGAGGAAUAGCACCAGCAAAGCGAAGUUGGCAGCCCCGACAAUAUGAAUCCUCCAAAAGAAGCUUGCCUCCGUGGUACUCAUGCUCUCUCAUGCUCAGACAUGGCCACUUUUGAUCCCUGCUGAGUUUGAGUCUAUGAAGAGGAGACAACAAGCCUACAGGUCUACAGCUGCAAAGGUAGGCGCCAAGGUAAGCGGAGGACUGCAGCCAUUUCAGGCAUCCAUCUUGCAGCGAGC
RNAcentral lists this long non-coding RNA (599 nucleotides) under Podarcis muralis (Common wall lizard). Its description in RNAcentral is "lncRNA (ENSPMRG00000006673.1)". Lineage: Eukaryota; Metazoa; Chordata; Lepidosauria; Squamata; Lacertidae. The record is from RNAcentral.